GUUCGUAGGCGGUGCGGCAAGUUGGGAGUGAAAUCUCUGGGCUUAACCCAGAGGCUGCUUUCAAACUGCCGUGCUCGAGUGCGAGAGAGGUCAGUGGAAUUGCAGGUGUAGCGGUGAAAUGCGUAGAUAUCUGCAGGAACACCCGUGGCGAAGGCGGCUGACUGGAUCGCAACUGACGCUGAGGAACGAAAGCUAGGGGAGCAAACAGGAUUAGAUACCCUGGUAGUCCUGGCCCUAAACCAUCAGGACUUGGGGUGGCCCGCGUAGGCGGGUCGUCCCGUAGCUAACGCGUUAAGUCCUGCGCCUGGGGAGUACGGUCGCAAGACUGAAACUCAAAGGAAUUGACGGGGGCCCGCACAAGCGGUGGAACAUGUGGUUCAAUUCGACGCAACGCGAAGAACCUUACCUGGGCUUGAACCGCUACUGACCAACGGUAGAAAUAUCGUCUUCCCGCAAGGGACAGUAAUAGAGGUGCUGCAUGGCUGUCGUCAGCUCGUGCCGUGAGGUGUUGGGUUAAGUCCCGCAACGAGCGCAACCCUUAUUCGUAGUU
This 550-nucleotide ribosomal RNA is filed under the name uncultured bacterium. Its description in RNAcentral is "bacterial SSU rRNA". It matches the Rfam family "Bacterial small subunit ribosomal RNA", at positions 567 to 1116 of the family's 1533-position model. The record is from RNAcentral.